RNAcentral lists this ribosomal RNA (507 nucleotides) under uncultured bacterium. RNAcentral describes it as "partial 16S ribosomal RNA". It matches the Rfam family "Bacterial small subunit ribosomal RNA", at positions 30 to 523 of the family's 1533-position model. The record is from RNAcentral.
AUUGAACGCUGGCGGCAUGCCCAACACAUGCAAGUCGAACGGCAGCACAGUAUGUAGCAAUACAUAUGGGUGGCGAGUGGCGGACGGGUGCGUAAUAUGUAGGGAUCUGCCCUGAAGCGGGGGACAACCCGGGGAAACCCGGGCUAAUACCGCAUAAUACUCUACGGAGGAAAUCGGGCACGCAAGUGCUGGGGCUUUAGGAUGAACCUACAUCCGAUUAGCUAGUUGGUGAGGUAAUAGCUCACCAAGGCAAUGAUCGGUAGCUGGUCUGAGAGGAUGACCAGCCACACUGGGACUGAGACACGGCCCAGACUCCUACGGGAGGCAGCAGUGGGGAAUAUUGGACAAUGGGGGAAACCCUGAUCCAGCAAUGCCGCGUGGGUGAAGAAGGCCUUCGGGUUGUAAAGCCCUUUAGGCGGGGAAGAAGGUUAUAGGGUGAUAAGCCUUAUAGCUUGACGGUACCCGCAGAAUAAGCACCGGCUAACUCUGUGCCAGCAGCCGCCGUAA